GCUACUGGUGUGUAAAGACAGAAAAAUCAACGCAGCCGCCACGCAACUGACAGCAACAGAAACUCCACGCUCACGCGACGCAGCCAGUGUGUAGCCGGCCUAACACAUGCAGAGAAGCCUACAUCAAAUGAGAAGGGGAAAUUCAAUUAAAGCGCAACUUCAUCAGAAAAUAAACAUGCCCAUUUCUGUUCAUUUUGGCCGCCGUUUAUUGGCUCGUCAGCCGCCUUACAAGUCCAACCGCUUCUGUAUUCACAUUCAGCAAAGGUUGUUUGGAAAUCAUGGCGGGAAUGAGAGGGAAACGUCAGCAGAGGUCUAAAGCUGCAUGCGAAGUUGAGAUGGGAGCUCCCUGAUCCGAAGAGAGGAGUCAUCGCGUUUUAGUUCGCUAAGUCCUCAGCUCUCAUCGGUCCAUGUUCGAGAGGUUGCCACUCACCGGCGAAUCGGCUGUCGGGAGCCUGCUCAUUAUCCAACCCCAAAGAGGGCGUGUCACAGAGGGCGACGCCCUGAUUGUUAUUGGCCAACUCUGGACACCUGCUCCGCCCACCUGCAAGCGAGGGCAAAGGUCAAACAAGAGCAGCC
Molecule: long non-coding RNA, 576 nt
Organism: Perca flavescens (yellow perch)
Lineage: Eukaryota; Metazoa; Chordata; Actinopteri; Perciformes; Percidae
Exons: 3
Source: RefSeq, a predicted model, not a curated record